AGGGAAUAUUGGUCAAUGGGCGAGAGCCUGAACCAGCCAUGCCGCGUGCAGGAAGACAGCUUUCUGAGUUGUAAACUGCUUUUAUAUGGGAAGAAAAAGGCCUUGCGAGGCAAAUUGCCGGUACCAUAUGAAUAAGCACCGGCUAACUCCGUGCCAGCAGCCGCGGUAAUACGGAGGGUGCAAGCGUUGUCCGGAUUUAUUGGGUUUAAAGGGUGCGUAGGCGGAUCUUUAAGUCAGUGGUGAAAUCCUGCAGCUUAACUGUAGAACUGCCAUUGAUACUGGAGAUCUUGAGUAUACUAGAGGUAGGCGGAAUUUAUGGUGUAGCGGUGAAAUGCAUAGAUACCAUAAAG
Molecule: ribosomal RNA, 350 nt
Filed under: uncultured bacterium
Lineage: Bacteria
Description: bacterial SSU rRNA
Rfam family: Bacterial small subunit ribosomal RNA
Source: RNAcentral